This 2018-nucleotide ribosomal RNA is filed under the name Lactobacillus delbrueckii. RNAcentral's name for it is "partial 23S ribosomal RNA". It matches the Rfam family "Bacterial large subunit ribosomal RNA", at positions 313 to 2344 of the family's 2925-position model. The record is from RNAcentral. Lineage: Bacteria; Bacillati; Bacillota; Bacilli; Lactobacillales; Lactobacillaceae.
CAUGGCACUUCAGAGGAUAGCAGAAGCGUUUGGGAAAACGCGCCAGAGAGGGUGAGAGCCCCGUAAGCGAAAUCCAAAGAAGGCCUAUCAGUAUCCUGAGUAGGGCGGGACACGUGAAAUCCCGUUUGAAUCCGCGAGGACCAUCUCGCAAGGCUAAAUACUAACCAGUGACCGAUAGUGAACCAGUACCGUGAGGGAAAGGUGAAAAGAACCCCGGGAGGGGAGUGAAAGAGAACCUGAAACCGUGUGCCUACAAGUAGUCAGAGCCCGUUAACGGGUAAUGGCGUGCCUUUUGUAGAAUGAACCGGCGAGUUGCGUUAGUCAGCAAGGUUAAGUCAGAAAAGACGGAGCCGCAGCGAAAGCGAGUCUGAAGAGGGCGAGCAGUUGGCUGACGCAGACCCGAAACCAAGUGACCUACCCAUGACCAGGUUGAAGGCGCGGUAAAACGCGCUGGAGGACCGAACCCACGUAAGUUGAAAAUUGCGGGGAUGAGUUGUGGGUAGCGGUGAAAUUCCAAACGAACUUGGAGAUAGCUGGUUCUCUCCGAAAUAGCUUUAGGGCUAGCCUCGCAAAGAGGAUGCUGGAGGUAGAGCUCUGUUUGGACUAGGGGCCCGUCAAGGGUUACUGAAUUCAGAUAAACUACGAAUUCCAGACAUUUAUGUGCGGGAGUCAGACUGCGAGUGAUAAGAUCCGUAGUCGAAAGGGAAACAGCCCAGAUCACCAGUUAAGGUCCCAAAAUUCAUGCUAAGUGGAAAAGGAUGUGGAGUUGCGCAGACAACUAGGACGUUGGCUCAGAAGCAGCCAUCAUUCAAAGAGUGCGUAAUAGCUCACUAGUCGAGUGACGCCGCGCCGAAAAUUUACCGGGGCUAAGCAUGAUACCGAAACUGUGGAUGUGCAUUUAUGCACGUGGUAGGAGAGCGUUCUAGCGGCGGUGAAGCAUGACUGAGAAGACAUGUGGAGCUUCUAGAAGUGAGAAUGCCGGUAUGAGUAACGAAAGACAGGUGAGAAUCCUGUCCGCCGCAAGACUAAGGUUUCCUGGGGCAGGCUCGUCCGCCCAGGGUAAGUCGGGACCUAAGGCGAGGCCGAGAGGCGUAGUCGAUGGACAACAGGUUGAAAUUCCUGUACUGCACCGAAUCGUUAUGAGCGAUGGAGGGACGCAGGAGGCUAGCAGCGCGUGGUGCUGGAUACCACGUUCAAGCGUCAAGUCUGAGAGCGAGUCAAAUGCUUGCUUUCAUAAGGACAAGGCGUGAUGAGGAGCGAAAUUAAAGUAGCGAAGGUUGCGACGUCACACUGCCGAGAAAAGCUUCUAGCCAGAAACGGUGCACCCGUACCGCAAACCGACACAGGUAGUCGAGGAGAGUAUCCUCAGGUGAGCGAGAGAACUCUCGUUAAGGAACUCGGCAAAAUGGCCCCGUAACUUCGGGAGAAGGGGCGCUGGUCGCAAGAUCAGCCGCAGUGAAAAGGCCCAAGCAACUGUUUAUCAAAAACACAGGCAUCUGCAAAAUCGUAAGAUGAAGUAUAGGUGCUGACACCUGCCCGGUGCUGGAAGGUUAAGAGGAGAGCUUAGCGCAAGCGAAGGUUUGAAUUGAAGCCCCAGUAAACGGCGGCCGUAACUAUAACGGUCCUAAGGUAGCGAAAUUCCUUGUCGGGUAAGUUCCGACCUGCACGAAAGGUGUAAUGAUUUGGGCACUGUCUCAACGAGAGACUCGGUGAAAUUAUAAUACCCGUGAAGAUGCGGGUUACCCGCGACAGGACGGAAAGACCCCAUGGAGCUUUACUGCAGUUUAAUAUUGGGUAUCUGUCAAGCAUGUACAGGAUAGGUAGGAGCCGGAGAAGAUAGGACGCCAGUCUUAUCUGAGGCGCUGUUGGGAUACUACCCUUGCUUGACGGAUGCUCUAACUCAGGCCUGUGAUCCAGGCCGAGGACAGUGUUUGACGGGCAGUUUGACUGGGGCGGUCGCCUCCUAAAGUGUAACGGAGGCGCCCAAAGGUUCCCUCAGAAUGGUUGGAAAUCAUUCG